This 932-nucleotide long non-coding RNA is filed under the name Helianthus annuus (common sunflower). Its description in RNAcentral is "hypothetical non coding rna". Lineage: Eukaryota; Viridiplantae; Streptophyta; Magnoliopsida; Asterales; Asteraceae. The record is from RNAcentral.
GGCAGUAGGGCCGCAUGGAGAUUAGCAUGCUUGCAUGUGUAGCAGCAAAUUCGACUGGAGAAUGGCGUGCUCAUGUGUGGGGCGUUAAGCUCGCAUGGAGACUGAGAUGAUCGUAUGUAGAACAUUAGACUCGUAUGGAGACCGACGUACUGGUAUGCAAAAAAGCUUGCGCGCAUGGCGACUUACGUGUUCGUAUGUAGAGGAGCAUGUGCGCUAGCGCAUGUGUGCUCGCUCGUGAGUAAAGGAGCAUGCGCGCGUGGCGACUUACGUGCUCGUAUGUAGAGGAGCAUGCGACUGGCGACUUAUGUACUCGUAAGUAAAGGAGCAUGUGCGCGUGGCGACUUACAUGCUCGUAUGUAAGAGAGCAUACGCGUAUGGCGACUUACGUGCUCGUAGUAAGGGAGCAUGCGCGUAUAGCGGCUUACGUGCUCAUAAAUGGAGGAGCAUGCGUGCAAAACGCAUGUGUGUUCGCUCGUAUGUAGGAGGAGCAUGCGCGUAUGGCGACUUACGUGCUCGUAAAUUGAGGAGCAUGCGUGCAAAACGCAUGUGUGCUCGCUCGUAUGUAGAAGGAGCAUGCGCGUAUGGCGACUUACGUGCUCGUAAAUUGAGGAGCAUGCGUGCAAAACGCAUGUGUGCUCGCUCGUAUGUAGAAGGAGCAGGCGCGUAUGGCGACUUAUGUGCUCGUAUGUAAAUGAGCAUGCGCGUAUGGCGACUUACGUGCUCGUAAAUUGAGGAGCAUGCGUGCAAAACGCAUGUGUGCUCGCUCGUAUGUAGAAUGAGCAUGCGCGUGUGGCGACUUAUGUGCUCGUAAAUUGAGGAGCAUGCGUGCAAAACGCAUGUGUGCUCGCUCGUAUGUAGAAUGAGCAUGCGCGUGUGGCGACUUAUGUGCUCGUAUGUAAAUGAGCAUGCGCGUAAGGCUACUUACGUGCUCG